Molecule: ribosomal RNA, 452 nt
Filed under: uncultured bacterium
Lineage: Bacteria
Description: bacterial SSU rRNA
Rfam family: Bacterial small subunit ribosomal RNA
Source: RNAcentral
AGAGUUUGAUCCUGGCUCAGAACGAACGCUGGCGGCAUGCCUAACACAUGCAAGUCGAACGAGACCUUCGGGUCUAGUGGCGCACGGGUGCGUAACGCGUGGGAAUCUGCCCUGGGGUGCGGAAUAACUCGGAGAAAUCCGUGCUAAUACCGCAUAAUGUCUUCGGACCAAAGAUUUAUCGCCCUGGGAUGAGCCCGCGUAGGAUUAGCUAGUUGGUGGGGUAAAAGGCCUACCAAGGCGACGAUCCUUAGCUGGUCUGAGAGGAUGAUCAGCCACACUGGGACUGAGACACGGCCCAGACUCCUACGGGAGGCAGCAGUGGGAAUAUUGGACAAUGGGCGAAAGCCUGAUCCAGCAAUGCCGCGUGAGUGAUGAAGGCCCUAGGGUUGUAAAGCUCUUUACCCGGGAUGAUAAUGACAGUACCGGGAGAAUAAGCUCCGGCUAACUCCGUG